This 465-nucleotide ribosomal RNA is filed under the name Vreelandella stevensii. RNAcentral describes it as "partial 16S ribosomal RNA". It matches the Rfam family "Bacterial small subunit ribosomal RNA", at positions 338 to 795 of the family's 1533-position model. Lineage: Bacteria; Pseudomonadati; Pseudomonadota; Gammaproteobacteria; Oceanospirillales; Halomonadaceae. The record is from RNAcentral.
CCUACGGGGGGCAGCAGUGGGGAAUAUUGGACAAUGGGGGCAACCCUGAUCCAGCCAUGCCGCGUGUGUGAAGAAGGCCCUCGGGUUGUAAAGCACUUUCAGUGAGGAAGAACGCCUGGUGGUUAAUACCCAUCAGGAAAGACAUCACUCACAGAAGAAGCACCGGCUAACUCCGUGCCAGCAGCCGCGGUAAUACGGAGGGUGCGAGCGUUAAUCGGAAUUACUGGGCGUAAAGCGCGCGUAGGUGGCUUGAUAAGCCGGUUGUGAAAGCCCCGGGCUCAACCUGGGAACGGCAUCCGGAACUGUCAAGCUAGAGUGCAGGAGAGGAAGGUAGAAUUCCCGGUGUAGCGGUGAAAUGCGUAGAGAUCGGGAGGAAUACCAGUGGCGAAGGCGGCCUUCUGGACUGACACUGACACUGAGGUGCGAAAGCGUGGGUAGCAAAGAGGAUUAGAUACCCUAGUAGUC